AAAUUGAAGAGUUUGAUCAUGGCUCAGAUUGAACGCUGGCGGCAGGCCUAACACAUGCAAGUCGAGCGGUAGCACAGAGAGCUUGCUCUCGGGUGACGAGCGGCGGACGGGUGAGUAAUGUCUGGGAAACUGCCUGAUGGAGGGGGAUAACUACUGGAAACGGUAGCUAAUACCGCAUAACGUCGCAAGACCAAAGUGGGGGACCUUCGGGCCUCAUGCCAUCAGAUGUGCCCAGAUGGGAUUAGCUAGUAGGUGGGGUAACGGCUCACCUAGGCGACGAUCCCUAGCUGGUCUGAGAGGAUGACCAGCCACACUGGAACUGAGACACGGUCCAGACUCCUACGGGAGGCAGCAGUGGGGAAUAUUGCACAAUGGGCGCAAGCCUGAUGCAGCCAUGCCGCGUGUGUGAAGAAGGCCUUCGGGUUGUAAAGCACUUUCAGCGGGGAGGAAGGCGUUAAGGUUAAUAACCUUGGCGAUUGACGUUACCCGCAGAAGAAGCACCGGCUAACUCCGUGCCAGCAGCCGCGGUAAUACGGAGGGUGCAAGCGUUAAUCGGAAUUACUGGGCGUAAAGCGCACGCAGGCGGUCUGUCAAGUCGGAUGUGAAAUCCCCGGGCUCAACCUGGGAACUGCAUUCGAAACUGGCAGGCUAGAGUCUUGUAGAGGGGGGUAGAAUUCCAGGUGUAGCGGUGAAAUGCGUAGAGAUCUGGAGGAAUACCGGUGGCGAAGGCGGCCCCCUGGACAAAGACUGACGCUCAGGUGCGAAAGCGUGGGGAGCAAACAGGAUUAGAUACCCUGGUAGUCCACGCCGUAAACGAUGUCGAUUUGGAGGUUGUGCCCUUGAGGCGUGGCUUCCGGAGCUAACGCGUUAAAUCGACCGCCUGGGGAGUACGGCCGCAAGGUUAAAACUCAAAUGAAUUGACGGGGGCCCGCACAAGCGGUGGAGCAUGUGGUUUAAUUCGAUGCAACGCGAAGAACCUUACCUGGUCUUGACAUCCACAGAACUUUCCAGAGAUGGAUUGGUGCCUUCGGGAACUGUGAGACAGGUGCUGCAUGGCUGUCGUCAGCUCGUGUUGUGAAAUGUUGGGUUAAGUCCCGCAACGAGCGCAACCCUUAUCCUUUGUUGCCAGCGGUCCGGCCGGGAACUCAAAGGAGACUGCCAGUGAUAAACUGGAGGAAGGUGGGGAUGACGUCAAGUCAUCAUGGCCCCUUACGACCAGGGCUACACACGUGCUACAAUGGCAUAUACAAAGAGAAGCGACCUCGCGAGAGCAAGCGGACCUCAUAAAGUAUGUCGUAGUCCGGAUUGGAGUCUGCAACUCGACUCCAUGAAGUCGGAAUCGCUAGUAAUCGUAGAUCAGAAUGCUACGGUGAAUACGUUCCCGGGCCUUGUACACACCGCCCGUCACACCAUGGGAGUGGGUUGCAAAAGAAGUAGGUAGCUUAACCUUCGGGAGGGCGCUUACCACUUUGUGAUUCAUGACUGGGGUGAAGUCGUAACAAGGUAACCGUAGGGGAACCUGCGGUUGGAUCACCUCCUUACCUUAAAGAA
RNAcentral lists this ribosomal RNA (1551 nucleotides) under Klebsiella pneumoniae. RNAcentral describes it as "bacterial SSU rRNA". It matches the Rfam family "Bacterial small subunit ribosomal RNA". The record is from RNAcentral. Lineage: Bacteria; Pseudomonadati; Pseudomonadota; Gammaproteobacteria; Enterobacterales; Enterobacteriaceae.